RNAcentral lists this ribosomal RNA (372 nucleotides) under uncultured bacterium. RNAcentral describes it as "bacterial SSU rRNA". It matches the Rfam family "Bacterial small subunit ribosomal RNA", at positions 524 to 898 of the family's 1533-position model. The record is from RNAcentral.
UACGGAGGAUGCAAGCGUUAUCCGGAUUCAUUGGGUUUAAAGGGUGCGCAGGCGGAAUGAUAAGUCAGUGGUGAAAUCUCCCGGCUCAACCGGGAAACUGCCAUUGAUACUGUCGUUCUUGAGUACAGUUGAAGUGGGCGGAAUGUGUCAUGUAGCGGUGAAAUGCUUAGAUAUGACACAGAACACCGAUAGCGAAGGCAGCUCACUAAGCUGUAACUGACGCUCAUGCACGAAAGCGUGGGGAUCAAACAGGAUUAGAUACCCUGGUAGUCCACGCUGUAAACGAUGAUCACUCGUUGUUGGCGAUAUACUGUCAGCGACUGAGCGAAAGCAUUAAGUGAUCCACCUGGGGAGUACGGCGGCAACGUUGAA